GAUCAGUGGCAUGGAUAUUGCUGGCAACUUUUACUCAGAUUUACUGUGAAAAUUGGGAGCAAAAAACAGAACUAAAAGAUUUUAAAAGCUUACAAUUUGACCAGAGAAGUGCUGGUAAAACUGGAGCCAAGAGAGGUGUGCUUGUUGAAAAAAUUAUAGACCCUAAAGAGAUACCAAGUACUUUCACAGAGACAAUAUUCCGGAAAGAUAGCUUGAGGGUAUCUCAGGAUUUUGCAAGACCACACCUUAUUGCAGGCUCAAGUGUGUAGAAAGGAAAAUUCCUUGAAGAAGAGAUCCUGGGGAUGCCUUAUUUGCACAUGAGGGCCUAGGAAGUUGUUUCACCAUACUCAGCCGGCCAAAUUCUCACAGGCUACUACAGCUGUGAUCCCUGAGAGCUCAGCUACUACAUGAACUGGCAGCAGACCUUGGCGUAAUCCACAUGGUGCUGUUUCUGCACAAAUUCAGGAUGCUUCUGUUAGAGGGUCAGGAAAGCUCCCACUGAGAUUUUAAAGGAAGGUCUGAGAGGCCAGGUGAAGUUUAGCAGGAUUGGAAUCCCUGCAGGCUGGCCCUGAGAAGACAAUGCAUGAUGCUGUGAAGUUGAAGCCAUAGCUGAAAUGGAGACCCCAAGAAUUUAGAGAUGCCAGUAAUGUGGGCUGUCUGAAAAGAAAAGUUGCUGGCUGUGGAGAAGGCCAGCCUAAAAUAAAGCCCAUGUGUGCUGCAACCAGGAAAGUCAAAGGGCAGAGCUGCCCAAGCUCUUUGGAAAGAACAUCUCGCAGCCAUGUGUCCUAAAUGCUGUACAAGGAGUUACAGUGGAGUUACAGGACCUGUUUGUCCAAUUUGGUUUUGGUCUUGCUUUGGCCCCAUUUCUUUCUUUUCUUUUUUUUUUUUUUUUUNCCUUUAGCACCCUGCCUUUACUUCCUUGUUGCCAUGAAUGGAGCAGUUCUCCUCAACCAUGCCCAUCUGCCAUGAUGUUCUCCCUCAUCUUGGGCCCAGAGCAAUGGAGUUCAUCCACCAUGGACUCAACAACUGGUACUAUGAGCCAAAAUAAACUUUUCCUCCUUUGAGUUGCUCUUACCAAGUAUUUUGGUCAUAGUGAUGAAAAAUCUUGACUAAAACAAGUGCCAUGGUCAUACAAUUUUUGUUAUAAUAAUUGUUCUAUUUUAUUAUUAUUAAUUUUUGUUACUAACCUCUUACUGUGCCUAAUUGAUAAGUUUUAUCAUAGGUAUAGAUGUAUAGGAAAAUACAGUGUAUAUAGGGUUUAGUACUUUCUGAGUUUCAGGCAUCCACUGGGAGUCUUAUAAUGUAUCUUCCACAAAUAAGGUGGACUACUGUAUCCCUUACUCAUGCAUAUGCACAGAUUUCCCUAUUAACUCCCCCUAUCAAAGUUACAACAUUUGUUACAGUUGAUGAUCCUGCACUGAUACCUUAUUAUGACCCAAAGACCAUUAUUUACAUGAGGGUUCACUCUUGGUAUUUAUUAUAUAUUCUGUGCACUUAGACAUAUCAAUGUUAAUGACAUGUAUCCACCUUUAUAGUAUAGAAAAUAAUUUCAUUGCCCUAAAAAUUCUCACUGCUCUGCCUAUUCAUCCCUUCCCCCUAACUCCUGGCAACCACUGAUCUUUUUAUUGUCUUCAGAGUUUUGCUGUUAGCAGAAUGUCAUAUAGUUGAAAGCAUAUAAUAUGUAGCCUUUAUAUAAACUGACUUCCCUCACAUAGUAAUAUCCAUUUAAGUUUCCUCCAUGUCUUUUCAUGGCUUGAUGCUUCAUUUCUCUCUAGCACUGAAAAUAUUCCAUUGUUUAUUCACUCAACUGUGAUGGCAUCGUGGUUGCUUCUCAGUUUUGGCCAUUAUGAUGAUGCUAAUCUGUAAUCAUCUAUGUGCAGGUUUUUAUUUGUACCUAAGUUUUCAGCUCCUUUAGGCAGACACCAAGGAGCACAAUUGCUAGAUCAUAUAGUUAAGCAUAUGAUCAGUUUUGUGAGAAAUCACCAGUCUUCCAAAAUGGCUACAACAUUUUGCAUUCCCA
This 2020-nucleotide long non-coding RNA is filed under the name Marmota monax (woodchuck). The record is from RNAcentral. Lineage: Eukaryota; Metazoa; Chordata; Mammalia; Rodentia; Sciuridae.